Molecule: non-coding RNA, 72 nt
Organism: Phrynosoma platyrhinos (Desert horned lizard)
Lineage: Eukaryota; Metazoa; Chordata; Lepidosauria; Squamata; Phrynosomatidae
Source: the annotation of a GenBank genome assembly
GCCAGGAUGGCGUAGUUGUUUGAGCAUUGAACUACGACUCUGGAGGCCAGGGUUCGAAUCCUAGCUCGGGCA